Molecule: transfer RNA, 74 nt
Filed under: Aeoliella mucimassa
Lineage: Bacteria; Pseudomonadati; Planctomycetota; Planctomycetia; Pirellulales; Lacipirellulaceae
Also listed under: 1 other name
Description: Planctomycetes bacterium Pan181 tRNA-Lys
Rfam family: tRNA
About the family: Transfer RNA (tRNA) molecules are approximately 80 nucleotides in length. Their secondary structure includes four short double-helical elements and three loops (D, anti-codon, and T loops). Further hydrogen bonds mediate the characteristic L-shaped molecular structure. tRNAs have two regions of fundamental functional importance: the anti-codon, which is responsible for specific mRNA codon recognition, and the 3' end, to which the tRNAs corresponding amino acid is attached (by aminoacyl-tRNA synthetases). tRNAs cope with the degeneracy of the genetic code in two manners: having more than one tRNA (with a specific anti-codon) for a particular amino acid; and 'wobble' base-pairing, i.e. permitting non-standard base-pairing at the 3rd anti-codon position.
Source: RNAcentral
GCUCCCUUAGCUCAAUCGGCAGAGCAACUGACUCUUAAUCAGUAGGUUGUAGGUUCGAUUCCUACAGGGAGCAC